AUGCUGAAGCGACUCGGCUCUGCCCGGGGGGCCCCGGCCCUGAACCCCGAGAGCCGGCCGGGGCCUAGCAGAAAGCGGGGGCAGCGGGGUAAGGGUGUGGCAGGACUCGGGGACUGUGCCCAGGGCCAGCGGGGGCCCCACAGGGGUCAGGCCGGGCAGGACGGGGCCCAGGCUCCUCGAGGUGCGGGAAGCAGCCUUCAGGGCCCGGGGUGGGGGCGGCCUCGCGUCCAUUUUCAGUCACGGAAAAGAGCUCCAGGCCCUCGCUCUCCCCGUGACAGCCCACGAGCCAGAAGGAGGGCGACUCUCCCAGGACGGCCGUCUCUCCCCCAGCUCUCAGCUUCGGCAGUGUUAUUACCGCUUCCUAAAAAAGAAGCCAGAACCCUGGAUUUCUACGUGAAAUCUCCUGAUUUUAAAUGCCGGCUCGUUGCUAUUUUAUCAAAACGUGUCUUACAGGAUGGGGCGCAGGCACGCCGCAGCAUCCACGAGGCCACAACCCAGCCUCACAACUGCCUCAGGAGACCGAUACUCAGAUGGCCAGAUGGGCUCAGAGAAGUCAAGCGACAUGCCCAAGGUCACACAGCCACCUGGGACUCGACCCUAGUAAUGUCUGCCCGUGAAGCCCGCACCACAGACACCCUCCAGCCCUGAUGGCCAUGGAAGAGAAGGUAGGAGCAGGGGUUUUCAAUGUCUUCUCUGGGUCAGUGACCCCUGGACCCGUUUCUAGAGUGGCCACGACACCACACCACACACUGGGCCUCUCUGAACCGCAGAAGUGAAUUCUCUCACUGUGGAGGCCAGAAAACCAAACUUGGGGGUCAGCAGGGCUCUGGGGAAGGGUCCCUCCUGCCUCUUCCAGUUUCGGGGGCCUCGAUGUCCCCGGGGGGCCACAGCCUCUGCUGCCGUCUCCCCUGCACAUCUGCGGGUCUCGGUGCUGCGGCUCCCUCCCCUUCUCCAGCCUUUGGAUUUAGGGCCCCUCGUAAUCCACGAUGACCUACUUUCA
RNAcentral lists this long non-coding RNA (1000 nucleotides) under Suricata suricatta (meerkat). RNAcentral describes it as "lncRNA (ENSSSUG00005011466.1)". Lineage: Eukaryota; Metazoa; Chordata; Mammalia; Carnivora; Herpestidae. The record is from RNAcentral.